This 279-nucleotide ribosomal RNA is filed under the name uncultured bacterium. RNAcentral describes it as "partial 16S ribosomal RNA". It matches the Rfam family "Bacterial small subunit ribosomal RNA", at positions 506 to 784 of the family's 1533-position model. The record is from RNAcentral.
UGCCAGCCGCCGCGGUAAUACGGAGGGAGCGAGCGUUAAUCGGAAUUACUGGGCGUAAAGCGCGCGUAGGCGGCUUUGUAAGUCGGAUGUGAAAGCCCCGGGCUCAACCUGGGAAUGGCAUUCGAUACUGCAUAGCUAGAGUAUGGUAGAGGGAAGUGGAAUUUCCGGUGUAGCGGUGAAAUGCGUAGAUAUCGGAAGGAACACCAGUGGCGAAGGCGACUAACUGGCUCGGUACUGACGCUGAGAUGCGAAAGCGUGGGGAGCAAACAGGAUUAGAUA